AUGAUACCGCCCUCGGGGUCCCAGCUUAGUCUGGGAAGGGCCUUUCAUAAACAUCCCCAUUCGGGCUUUAAAUUCCAAUGAGCCAGAGCUCUGGUGCGAAGUGUCUGCAGACCCUUGGCUACUUCGGAAGCAAAAUGUCUGUCUCAACAGGACUGCUGGAGAUGCUUAAGUGACAUAAUGGAUGGAAACUUCCUGAAAAAGAGAAGCAAGGCAACCAAAGAGGAUAAAAGCCUCGGCGGCUGCCGUGGGAACCGCGCUGUCGGGACUCGGCUACCCCUCGCCGGGAGGCCGUGCGAAGCAGCUCCCCGGGCAGCUCCCGGUCGCCUGGCGGCCGAGGCCGUGCCCGUGCCUUUUCCCUGCGGGGCCGCGGAGAGCGGAAGGCGGCAUCCAUCGCCCGCAAGGCCUGAGCGUCCGCUGCCCACCGGCCCAGCACAGGUGAAAAAAAAAGGGGGGUGCGCGAUCGCCCCGGCGCGGAGAGAGGAGGGGAAGCUCCACCGGUCCUGGGCGGCUCCCCGUUUGGGGAAUCGAGGACUGCGUGGCGGGGGAAGGAGCACUCCGGUGGCCCGGCUGCCUGAGGGAGGAGGUGGGGUUCUGCUGGAUGCUGCCCAAUGGGUAGGAUUUGCCUGGAUUGAGAAGGGGGCGUUUUCGGGGAGAGGGGGCACGGGGUCGGGGUGGGGGUACGGACGCAAACUGUCUUGCCUUGAACCCCCUUGGCAUCUCCUCCUCUGGAGAGGAGUAUGUGGGUGUGCGUGUCCAACUCCUAUUCCCUGUCUCCGUGGCAGGCCAUUAAAGCCGGAUGCGAACUUGGAUUCUGUGUGGCUGAUUGCGGAGCUGGUAGGCCGACCAUUUCCCGGGGGAGAUGUCCUGGGGCGGGGGUCGCUUUGGCUCGUCCUCAGAAGGUGGGAGAGGAAUUUUCCGCCCGCCGCCCGCGGAGGCGGCGGCGGGGUGGGGGGGGAGCUGGGGUGGUGCGGGGAGGGAGGGAGGGGGAUGAGGGAUGAGGCCGCUCCUGACCCUGCCCUCCCCUGCCCUCCGCGGCGGCGCAGUCUGGACGCCCCGAGGUCCCGGAUCGGCGACCCCCGGUGGACAGAGAACUAGCGUAGCCGGACGACGAGCUUUCGCACCAAGGCCACCGGUUGCAGAAGCUGGGAGUGAAAUAAAGGCGCGCGCGCCGGGUCCUGCGCUCCUGUAAGAUUCUGAGAAAUAACGGGGGAGGGGAGAACUUUGAGAAGGGGGUGUGGCUGGGACCUGAGGCCAGGAGGUUAAGGAGACCAGACCUUAUUUAUUCCUACAAAUCUGUGACCACUGUGCUCUAUUUUGAGAGCCCAAUGUCAGCUUCCAUACACUCUCAUACUUAGAAUUAGAAGCAACAGUUGCCCUCCUGGACGACUGGCGGGAGGGGAUGGAUGUGGCUGUAAAAAGCACCCUGCUAGCACAGAGACACCGGCUGGCUCCGUGAGGUUGUAAUUGCCAGUCUCCUAGAAGAUAUUUUUAGGGCAGUGGGCAGAUAUAAAAUGUACUGCAGGACAUUCGGGAAGGGAGAAACCCAAUUGCAGCCAGUUCCCUUCUUAACUCCUCCCCGUUGUUUUUCUUUUUCACAGCCCCUACCGAGAUAGGAAGAAGGCAGAGUGCCCCAGCGCGCCCGCAGGUUAGGCUUCCCCACAAAGCCUGAGCAGCUUGUUGUGUUCGGAUACCGGAGCGUCG
RNAcentral lists this long non-coding RNA (1701 nucleotides) under Canis lupus familiaris (dog). RNAcentral describes it as "lncRNA (ENSCAFG00040013724.1)". The record is from RNAcentral. Lineage: Eukaryota; Metazoa; Chordata; Mammalia; Carnivora; Canidae.